RNAcentral lists this long non-coding RNA (1080 nucleotides) under Homo sapiens (human). RNAcentral describes it as "long non-coding RNA NONHSAT148554.1". Lineage: Eukaryota; Metazoa; Chordata; Mammalia; Primates; Hominidae. The record is from RNAcentral.
UGGAGAGGCCUCGGAGCCGGGGCCGUCUGACGGGCUGGUGCCCACAGCACAGGCUCGUUGCCGCCACCCUCCCGGAAGCCGCAGACCCGGGCUGAGCCGCCGCGGACCUCUCCUCUCCUGGGUCCGGCGGCGCCAGGAGAAGGCGACGGCGUCCAGACCCCGCCAAGACGGAGAGGGGACCGCGCCCUCCCCCGGGACACCCCAGGAUCCCUGGAAAAUCCCCCGAUCCCCCACUUCACAGCUGGACAAGCCGAAGCCCCGAGAAAGGAGCGUGACCCGGCCAGCUCCCUCAGCGAGGGGUGCCCCGGCUAAAGUGACCUGAAAAAAAUGUCUGGAUUUCUAGAGGGCUUGAGAUGCUCAGAAUGCAUUGACUGGGGGGAAAAGCGCAAUACUAUUGCUUCCAUUGCUGCUGGUGUACUAUUUUUUACAGGCUGGUGGAUUAUCAUAGAUGCAGCUGUUAUUUAUCCCACCAUGAAAGAUUUCAACCACUCAUACCAUGCCUGUGGUGUUAUAGCAACCAUAGCCUUCCUAAUGAUUAAUGCAGUAUCGAAUGGACAAGUCCGAGGUGAUAGUUACAGUGAAGGUUGUCUGGGUCAAACAGGUGCUCGCAUUUGGCUUUUCGUUGGUUUCAUGUUGGCCUUUGGAUCUCUGAUUGCAUCUAUGUGGAUUCUUUUUGGAGGUUAUGUUGCUAAAGAAAAAGACAUAGUAUACCCUGGAAUUGCUGUAUUUUUCCAGAAUGCCUUCAUCUUUUUUGGGGCUGGUUUUUAAGUUUGGCCGCACUGAAGACUUAUGGCAGUGAACACAUCUGAUUUCCCACAGCACAACAGCCCUGCAUGGGUUUGUUUGUUUUUUUACUGCUCACUCCCAACCUUUUGUAAUGCCAUUUUCUAAACUUAUUUCUGAGUGUAGUCUCAGCUUAAAGUUGUGUAAUACUAAAAUCACGAGAACACCUAAACAACAACCAAAAAUCUAUUGUGGUAUGCACUUGAUUAACUUAUAAAAUGUUAGAGGAAACUUUCACAUGAAUAAUUUUUGUCAAAUUUUAUCAUGGUAUAAUUUGUAAAAAUAAAAAGAAAUUAC